GAUGAACGCUGGCGGCGUGCCUAACACAUGCAAGUCGAACGGAGAUUACGGACGGAAGUUUUCGGAUGGAAGACUGUAAUUCUUAGUGGCGGACGGGUGAGUAACGCGUGGGCAACCUGCCCUAUACAGGGGGAUAGCAGCUGGAAACGGCUGGUAAGACCGCAUAAGUCGGCGAGACCGCAUGGUUUUGCCGGGAAAUGAGCAAUCAGGUAUAGGAUGGGCCCGCGUCCGAUUAGCCAGUUGGCAGGGUAAAAGCCUACCAAAGCAACGAUCGGUAGCCGGACUGAGAGGUCGGACGGCCACAUUGGGACUGAGACACGGCCCAAACUCCUACGGGAGGCAGCAGUGGGGGAUAUUGCACAAUGGAGGAAGCUCUGAUGCAGCGACGCCGCGUGAGUGAAGAAGUAUUUCGGUAUGUAAAGCUCUAUCAGCAGGGAAGAUGAUGACGGUACCUGACUAAGAAGCCCCGGCUAACUACGUG
RNAcentral lists this ribosomal RNA (481 nucleotides) under uncultured bacterium. RNAcentral describes it as "partial 16S ribosomal RNA". It matches the Rfam family "Bacterial small subunit ribosomal RNA", at positions 28 to 507 of the family's 1533-position model. The record is from RNAcentral.